UGAAUACAUACGCUUUAUGGUGUGAACCGGGUAGUCUCUUGUACCCGGCCACUUAAAAGGGAAGUUCGGUGAAAAUCCGACGCGGUCCCGCCACUGUAAAGGGGAGUGUCCUUGCUGGUAUCCACUGUUUCGCGGUCUAAACGCGAGAUGGGAAGGGAGCAAGGCGUGAUGAUCCCAAGCCAGGAGACCUGCCAGAAAGCAUACACGAUC
RNAcentral lists this non-coding RNA (210 nucleotides) under Brevibacillus borstelensis. The record is from RNAcentral. Lineage: Bacteria; Bacillati; Bacillota; Bacilli; Caryophanales; Paenibacillaceae. RNAcentral also lists the same sequence under 1 other name.